GAGUGAACGCUGGCGGUAGGCCUAACACAUGCAAGUCGAACGGCAGCCCAGUAAGAGCUUGCUCUUACGGGUGGCGAGUGGCGGACGGGUGCGGAAUACAUCGGAAUCUACUUUUUCGUGGGGGAUAACGUAGGGAAACUUACGCUAAUACCGCAUACGACCUACGGGUGAAAGCAGGGGAUCUUCGGACCUUGCGCGAUUGAAUGAGCCGAUGUCGGAUUAGCUAGUUGGCGGGGUAAAGGCCCACCAAGGCGACGAACCGUAGCUGGUCUGAGAGGAUGAUCGGCCACACGGGAAGGGAGACACGGUCAAGAGUCCUACGGGAGGCAGCAGUGGGGAAUGGUGGACAAUGGGCGCAAGUCUGAUCCAGCCAUACCGCGUGGGUGAAAAAGGCCUUCGGGUUGUAAAGCCCUUUUGUGGGGAAAAAAAAGCAGCAGGUUAAUACCCCGCGGUUCUGACGGUACCCAAAGAAUAAGCACCGGCUAACUUCGUG
RNAcentral lists this ribosomal RNA (493 nucleotides) under uncultured bacterium. RNAcentral's name for it is "partial 16S ribosomal RNA". It matches the Rfam family "Bacterial small subunit ribosomal RNA", at positions 27 to 507 of the family's 1533-position model. The record is from RNAcentral.